Molecule: long non-coding RNA, 1349 nt
Organism: Prosopis cineraria
Lineage: Eukaryota; Viridiplantae; Streptophyta; Magnoliopsida; Fabales; Fabaceae
Exons: 3
Source: RefSeq, a predicted model, not a curated record
UAUUGAGCAAAUCCCAACAAAAACCCUAAGUCCAUGAUCACUUACAAAUCUCUACUCAACCCGUCAUCUUCAUGAUUGAAGCCAUACGCCUGAAGGCCGCUCAUCUGACACCCUAAAGGUCAAUUUGGCCGAGUUCAUUGCCACCCUCAUCUUUGUGUUCGCCGGUGAAGGCGCCGGCAUGGCCUUCAACAAACUGACCAGCAACAAGGAUGCUGAACCGUACAAGAACUCAACUGUAGGAGCUUCUGAUGCAGAAGGAAGACUUGGCCUUCAACAAGCUGACCAGCAACAGGGAUGCUCAACUAUGCGAGAACUCGACUGUAGGCAUCAAGUUUCUGAUGCAAAAGGAAGACUUCAACGUUGCCAUUGAAAUCGUUGAGGAGUCUUUGUGCUCUGUUUUGAAAAUUUAAUGAUGAUGAUGGCUCACCUUGUGAAGGCACAUAACAACAAGUGGUGAAGAACCGAUUGAAAUACUCAGAAGAGAGGGCCCAAAAAUUGAUGAUGGAAGUAUAGUGCAAAAAUCUCUCAUUAAGUAGGUCAGAGUCAUCGGUUACUUCAAAUGCUUCAAGUUGAUAAGUGUAGAUGAGCUCGUUAAUACUAGACACUCUCAUGGUUCUUGAUUUAGGGAUCUAAUGAGUGUUGUUGUCUGCACAUCUUUCUUGACAGAAUCGCAUUCCUCAAACGCUGAGUUUUCCUGUAUCGUCACAUCUUCUAUGCAUCCUUAGCUAAAUCUCUGGAGUUCAGGUUGAAGUCCGUUGAUGAAGACCUUGGUGGUGGUGGACUCUGGAAGGUGUGCAUACGUGACUGAAGGCGGAGGAGGAAUAGUAGUGGUAGACGCAAAUGUCAUCAUUGUCGAAGGAGGGUACAAGCGUUGGUUGACAAGUAGAGUGAGCUUAGUCGAGAUUUCAUUCAUCUGUUGUGAAAUAUGAGACAUAAAUUGCUUAAAAUCAAGGCAGUGCUUUAGUUCACCUCUACGAUUAGAGGAUCAAAUCUCCAAUGGCUCCUCUAUGACCAGAGAGGAGGCUCUGGUACCUUUGAUAGGUAGAAGAGAAAGAAGGAGAGAGAGGAGAGGCAGAAGGAGAAUAGAAAAAAAGAUAAAAAUUAAUUUCAUUCAUAAUAACUCAUCACAAUUUAAAAAUUUAUUUAUAAAAAAUACAUGUAAAUACCCAAACUAUUUCUAUAUUCCUAAGUCCCCUAAUUACUCCUAUUAUUCUUAAUUUUCAUGUAUCAAGGACAAUGUUAAUUGGUAAGGAUGAGGCUGCAAUAUCUUGUUUUCUUGCCUUCAAGUUUGGAAAUCAGAGACCCCAAAUCCAUAACGAGCCUCAUACUCGUAAAUCGUAAUCUUAUUU